AUAACCCAAAAUAUCCAAUAAAGGAGGGCAGAACUCCUCAGAAACAUACCAUCCAAAUUGUGGUUUCCUAAGGGAGUGCCUUAAACUUCCUUCAGUGGCCAAACCUUUAUAAUCUUGUUACAACCAGGACUUUCCAUUCCUGAAAACUAAAACCUGAAGGUAGGAGGAAAUUUAAAUGCCAAAUGUCACAAUUUAUUUGCUUUAAAAAUUAUGCCACCCUACUUAUUCUCAAUGUUUUCUUGCAAUCUUUCUAAACUCUUUAUACCAACUAUUUCCAAUUUCUCAUGGGUAGAAGAAUAUGGUAAGAGGUGGUGGGAAUAAUAGGUAGAAAAAUGUUGCUUUUGAUAAUAAACUUAUAGUGAUAGACUUUUGUUAAUAAAUAUCUUACCUGGUAUUCAAUUAUUAGGAAAUUAGAUACUACUGUACUGGAUAUGACAGGUUACAAUUUCUGAACUUAAAAGUAUGCUUCUCUUGGGGCAACCAUGGGUCACAGAUAUAUAACACUUUUAUUUUAUUUUACUUUAUUUUUGCUUUAUUUUACUUCAUUUUAUUUUAUACCAGAGCACUGCUCAGCUUUGGCUUAUGGUGAUGCUGUAGAUUGAACCUGGGACUUCAGUGCCACAGCUAUGAUAGUCUUUUGCAGAACCAUUAUGCUAUCUCCUAUGUACAACAGAAGCAGAAAUCAAGAAGGAACAGGGAACUGGAAGGCAAGGGAAGCAGAGAGACAUCUGCAACACAACUUCACCACUUCAGGAGUUUCCCCUGCAGGUGGGGACCCAGGGCUUGAACCUGGGCCCUUGCACAUUGUAACGUGUGCGUUAACUGGGUAUGCCACAAUCUGGUCCCUAUAUAUUAACUAUUAAUUCUUAUUGUUUUCAAGUCUGGACUCCAUUGAUUCCUGACAUUUCCACUAAUUGAUUUGAAGCUGUGAAACCACCUUACAUUCCCAUUCUCUCACUCUGAAAACAAUAUUAAUGACACAUAACUUACAGCAAUAAUAUGAGAAUGGAAUGAUACAUAUAAUAUAUAAACUCCUCAGCAGAGUAUCUUCUCAUGCAAUUAAUGUAUAACAAGUGUUUUCCCAUCAUUAUUACUCAUCUGAGAAGAAACUCUAUAGAUUUAUGUAGUAAGAGAGUUAUAUAUGGUAACAAGUUAAUAAAUGUCCUGUUAAUCACAAAUCCAAGAAUAUGAGAUUGUUUUAAAUACACUAUUUAUGUCCUUGAAUUUUGAAUAUUUUCCUUAUACAAUUUAUUUUGAAACAUUUAAUAGAUACCCCUUGUCUUAAUAUAUGGUAAAGACUAGUUGUGUACUGAACACUAGGAAAUCAUCAUUACCAUAUUUGUGAAGCAACCACUUCUCUGACUUUGCAGAUACUAUUUUUUUUUUUUCCUGACAAGGGAAUCAGAAUCUUGAUUUCCAUCUUAGUUUUACUAGUAGUCUCCUGAUAAGAUUUGAGUACUGGCUCCUAGAUCUUAGAUUCCAAGAGGGUUGUAUCAUGUUUAAUGUUUCUUUCAGCUCAUUAUGUUUGUUGAGAUUCUGCUAACUUAAUAAAUUCGUAGGAGGUGCUAUUAAUUUAGCAUUUA
Molecule: long non-coding RNA, 1583 nt
Organism: Erinaceus europaeus (western European hedgehog)
Lineage: Eukaryota; Metazoa; Chordata; Mammalia; Eulipotyphla; Erinaceidae
Exons: 2
Source: RefSeq, a predicted model, not a curated record